GAGUUUGAUUCUGGCUCAGGAUGAACGCUGACAGAAUGCUUAACACAUGCAAGUCUACUUGAAUUUGGGUCUUUGACUUAGAUUUGGGUGGCGGACGGGUGAGUAACGCGUAAAGAACUUGCCUCACAGUUAGGGACAACAUUGGAAACGAAUGCUAAUACCUGAUAUUAUGAUUUUAGGGCAUCCUAAGAUUAUGAAAGCUAUAUGCGCUGUGAGAGAGCUUUGCGUCCCAUUAGCUAGUUGGAGAGGUAACAGCUCACCAAGGCGAUGAUGGGUAGCCGGCCUGAGAGGGUGAACGGCCACAAGGGGACUGAGACACGGCCCUUACUCCUACGGGAGGCAGCAGUGGGGAAUAUUGGACAAUGGACCAAGAGUCUGAUCCAGCAAUUCUGUGUGCACGAUGAAGUUUUUCGGAAUGUAAAGUGCUUUCAGUUGGGAAGAAAAAAAUGACG
RNAcentral lists this ribosomal RNA (452 nucleotides) under Fusobacterium sp. canine oral taxon 236. RNAcentral's name for it is "bacterial SSU rRNA". It matches the Rfam family "Bacterial small subunit ribosomal RNA", at positions 9 to 474 of the family's 1533-position model. The record is from RNAcentral. Lineage: Bacteria; Fusobacteriati; Fusobacteriota; Fusobacteriia; Fusobacteriales; Fusobacteriaceae.